CAUGUGGAGGAGCAGGGAAGCGAACCCGGUUCCCCAGAUUACGAGUCCACCGCUCUUAACCACUACACCACACUGGCUCACACCACACCACACAUACGAGGUCUGUAUGUAGAAGAUUGCUAAGGCUCUCUGCUCCAAGGUCUUCAACCUGUCUCCACAUCUGCAGUUGGACACAUCAUCCCAAAGGUCGCUUGGCUCCAUGCUGUCCUGCCUGAUGUGGCUCCCUUUCAACAGAUGGGGAAAGAAAAUAGGAAAUUACAUGGAAAGAUCAACAAAAGCUCUCCCAAGAAACAAAACAAGCACGAUUCACUAUGUUUUUCUCUGAACUGCAAGCUUUGCAAUUUAAUUUGGGUUGCAAUUUUUGUUUGCAUUUCAUCCCUUCCCCUAACAUGUGACAUCUUAGAAAUGAAUAGUGUGUUUAAAAAAAGGUUCAGGAGACAAAAGGUAGCUGCUUACUCAAAGAUAAAAAUGUUUGUGGCUCUGGGGACUCAGAAGCAGCCGCAAACGGUGACUACAUUCACCUCUGAGUUGUCAGUAUUUUUCUUCAAUUAAAGCAGACUAUAGCGCUCUGUUGCCCUGCUGCAACAAAUCCACUUAAAACAACAACAAACUAGACUCUUUGCAAUUUAAAAAGUAACAGGGAAACAUAGUGAAAAGUGUGAGAUGAACAUCUGAAAAACGAGAAGACCACCAUCCAAGUAAAUCAGGAUGAAUGCUCAUUGCCGUUUAACAUCCUCACAAACAAACUGGAAUGAAUGCUCAAUAGAGACUGGACAAUGUUGUAUUCCAUGUAGCACCAAGUCACUGGUUCUUUCAGUGCAGGAUUUUCUUCUUGUGCAACGAAACCUUUCCUCUCCUCUCCUCCCUCCAUGUGCCCCCAAUUCUGUUCUGCUGGCUCAACUUUUCAGUGCAGGUUUUGCAGGGUAGGACAAGUGCGAGGGAAGGAGGAGGCGGGCGGGAAAAUCCCAUUGUGCUAGCAGUAUUAUUUGAACUGAUGGGAAUAUUUAGCUGAAUGCCUCCUGUAUUCUAAGAUGAAUGCCCAAUGAACAGGUUGUCUGGAGGGGCCCUAUAUGUUAUGUGGCUCAUAUGUCUAUUGUGCAUUUAUUAAAAACGCCUGUGUUUGUAAAUAGGCUGGCGUCG
Molecule: non-coding RNA, 1140 nt
Organism: Podarcis muralis (Common wall lizard)
Lineage: Eukaryota; Metazoa; Chordata; Lepidosauria; Squamata; Lacertidae
Source: RefSeq, a predicted model, not a curated record